Molecule: long non-coding RNA, 1116 nt
Organism: Hevea brasiliensis (rubber tree)
Lineage: Eukaryota; Viridiplantae; Streptophyta; Magnoliopsida; Malpighiales; Euphorbiaceae
Exons: 2
Source: RefSeq, a predicted model, not a curated record
AGAGAAAGAGAGAAUCAUUGUUAGAAAGGUGAAGCAUUUAAUAGUCAAAGUAACAUAGAAUUCCAAACAAGAACAAGCUAGUCACUGUUGGUGGCAUUCCUCUGCCUUUCACUUUUGCAAAUGCCUUAUCCCUUACAAUAUUUCCGCUACAGAAUCCCCCAGAGGGCAGUAAAAGAAAGAAGAAAACCCUCUCUCCCUCCCGUUAGAUUUAUUAAGAUCUGGAGUCGCUUUCCUGUCUGACUCUUGUGACGACGUCGAUGAUGACCCAUCACUUACCUUCUGAUCCAAUAAAAAUCAUCUUCUGUUUCUUAUAUUGUGCAAACCCCUUUUCUUGUUUAUUUCUUUUCUUUGUAUUUUUCUUCAAAUUCUCUCAUUUCCUUUUCUUUCUUUCUUUCUUUUGCCUAGUUAAUAGUGUCACAAUUAGGGUUUCACAGCCCUUUUCUGAUUAUAUACAUAUUAUCUUCUAAGUUGAAUAUUGUAUGUAUACUUCUCUCUGUGUAUGUCUCGUUAAUUAAUUUACUUUCUUUAUGUUUACUCCACGAAUAGAUAUUAUUUGCAGAUUAAAAAAAAAUGGUUUUUCUGGAGGACAAAAGCUGCUUUCUGGGAUCUUUGCCAAGAAUUCAAAGAGACACCAGCAAACAUCAACAAGUACGUACGAGUAACUAAAAAAAAUGAAUGUUGGUUAAUAUGUAACAAUGAAAUAAAAACUUACUAUUUCUUUAAGUUCAUUUGAUUCGUUUGAGACGACUCAAUUAUCAAUAAGUUAAAAUUGGUUGAUAUAAUUUGCAUCAUUUCCAAUAUAUGUAUUUGUGCUGGGCAAUGUAUCACUGACAGCAAUAGCUAGCAUAUAUCUCCCUUUUUCCUUUUUUUAGCUGGCUACACAAGGAAAAGUAUUUUCUGAUGCAAUAUAGUUGCAAGGUUGCACCUCGCCAGCUACUUGUUUUUAUUCCUUGUUUAGCUUCUUGUUCUCGAUAACUUAAUUUCCUUUGGCUAUAUAUACAUAUAUAUAGCAUUUGCAUUUGCAUACUUGUAAACUUGAUUUGUCCUCGUUUUCUAUUGCCUUUGUAUGUAUGAAGUACAGUAAUAGCAAGCCAAGAAUGCAGCCUCCUUUCUGUU